This 1147-nucleotide long non-coding RNA is filed under the name Mytilus galloprovincialis (Mediterranean mussel). Lineage: Eukaryota; Metazoa; Mollusca; Bivalvia; Mytilida; Mytilidae. The record is from RNAcentral.
GCUGUCUUUUAUUUUGACUAAUAACAUUUUCAUUUUAAUAAAUAAAUAGAAAUAUAAUUGUACAAGUUUGGAAGACUUAAUGGUAUAAAUAUUCAUACAGAUCAUAUGUAAAAAAUAAAAGUACCUAUCAAAACAUAUUGCUUUUUGGCAGUAAGGUGACAAAUACAGUGUCUUUCAAGUGACCAAUGAAAAUAAAUAUCACAAAUUAUGAGGAAUUUGUUUAAAAUGGUCUUGUGUUCCCUCCAUAUUGAAUAUAAAAUUAUGAUAAAUUAGAUGAUUUAUAUACAGUACCUGGCCAAAAGUAUUCGUCACCUGCAUUUUUUUGCUAUAUAUUCAUAUAAAAACACACUUUUUCCAAAAAAAUAUUUUGAGGGCAUUUAUGGUUGGAUUUUUAUUAGCAAGGCAUUUAAAGAUGUAGAAUUGUCUAAAGUAUGUUUUUUUAUUUGAUAAUAGUUUUUGUCUUCAGGUGUUUUUGUUUUCUCUUGAUGUGAACACAUACAAUAUUUUUUUAUAUUUAAUUUGGUUGAAUAUAUAGCAAAUUUCUGAACAGAAAAUAAUAUACUGGUAUGUGUUUUUGUGAAAAAAUGAAAAUGAUCCACAAAAAAAAUAUAACAAAAUAAACAUAUGACAAUUCUGUUUCUAUUUGGUACCAAGUUGCUUAAAAUCAAAACCAAAAAUGACCCUAAAAUUUAAAAAAAAAAUAUAGUUUUAUAUACAAUAUAUAGCAAAAUUCUCAAGUGAUAAAUACUUAUGGCCUCACUCUGUAUGUUACAUUAUCAUCGUUUACAAAUGGCAAGACAGCUAAAUUCAAUAUCUUGUGAAAAUGUUUUUGAAAGGGAUGGAGGUUACACAUAUAAAAAGAAAAUCUGACAACCAUUUUCUCCACACAAAACAUCAAUUCAAUUAAAAUCUUGACAAAUUUUAGUGUAGGUAAAAAAAAACCAACAUUUUGGACUCAUUGGCUGAAGACUGUUCCCAUUUAUCAUUACAAUGUAGUAUGGAUUCAUUAAUAUUACUACUGUUUUUAAGUUUUGACAAAAGAAUAUUCACUACAAAAAAGGACCUUUUAGAUAGUUGAGCUAGCAAUUUAAGAAUCAAACAAAUAAUGAAUAAUGGUACACUACAACUAACUUUCCCAAGCUAACAA